GGGAACCCAAUAUCUUUUAUAGGAUAUUACUUUUCAGUGAAUACAUAGCUGAUUAGAGGUAGACGCAGAGAACUGAAACAUCUUAGUACCUGCAGGAAGAGAAAGAAAAUUCGAUUCCCUGAGUAGCGGCGAGCGAAACGGGAAGAGCCCAAACCAACAAGCUUGCUUGUUGGGGUUGUAGGACUCCAAUAUGGUAGUCUGUUAGUAUAGUUGAAGGAUUUGGAAAAUUCCGCUAAAGAGGGUGAAAGCCCCGUAGACGAAAUGCUAACAACACCUAGGAGGAUCCUGAGUACGGCGGAACACGAGAAAUUCCGUCGGAAUCCGCGGGGACCAUCCCGCAAGGCUAAAUACUCCCUAGUGACCGAUAGUGAACCAGUACCGUGAGGGAAAGGUGAAAAGCACCCCGGAAGGGGAGUGAAAUAGAUCCUGAAACCGUGUGCCUACAACAAGUCAAAGCUCGUUAAUGAGUGAUGGCGUGCCUUUUGUAGAAUGAACCGGCGAGUUACGAUUGCAUGCGAGGUUAAGUCGAAGAGACGGAGCCGCAGCGAAAGCGAGUCUGAAUAGGGCGAAUGAGUAUGUAGUCGUAGACCCGAAACCAUGUGAUCUACCCAUGUCCAGGUUGAAGGUGCGGUAAAACGCACUGGAGGACCGAACCCACGUACGUUGAAAAGUGCGGGGAUGAGGUGUGGGUAGCGGAGAAAUUCCAAACGAACUUGGAGAUAGCUGGUUCUCUCCGAAAUAGCUUUAGGGCUAGCCUCGGAAUUGAGAAUGAUGGAGGUAGAGCACUGUUUGGACUAGGGGCCCAUCUCGGGUUACCGAAUUCAGAUAAACUCCGAAUGCCAUUCAUUUAUAUCCGGGAGUCAGACUGCGAGUGAUAAGAUCCGUAGUCGAAAGGGAAACAGCCCAGACCACCAGCUAAGGUCCCAAAAUAUAUGUUAAGUGGAAAAGGAUGUGGGGUUGCACAGACAACUAGGAUGUUGGCUUAGAAGCAGCCACCAUUUAAAGAGUGCGUAAUAGCUCACUAGUCGAGUGACCCUGCGCCGAAAAUGUACCGGGGCUAAACAUAUUACCGAAGCUGUGGACUACACCAUUAGGUGUAGUGGUAGGAGAGCGUUCUAAGGGCGUUGAAGGUCGAUCGUGAGGACGGCUGGAGCGCUUAGAAGUGAGAAUGCCGGUAUGAGUAGCGAAAGACAGGUGAGAAUCCUGUCCACCGUAUGACUAAGGUUUCCUGGGGAAGGCUCGUCCGCCCAGGGUUAGUCGGGACCUAAGCCGAGGCCGAUAGGCGUAGGCGAUGGACAACAGGUUGAUAUUCCUGUACCAGUUGUUUUUGUUUGAGCAAUGGAGGGACGCAGUAGGCUAAGGAAUGCAUGCGAUUGGAAGUGCAUGUCCAAGCAAUGAGUCUUGAGUAGAGUUAAAUGCUUUACUCUUUAAGGACAAGUUGUGACGGGGAGCGAAAUAAUAGUAGCGAAGUUCCUGAUGUCACACUGCCAAGAAAAGCUUCUAGUGAGAAAACAACUGCCCGUACCGUAAACCGACACAGGUAGUCGAGGAGAGUAUCCUAAGGUGAGCGAGCGAACUCUCGUUAAGGAACUCGGCAAAAUGACCCCGUAACUUCGGGAGAAGGGGUGCUGACUUCGGUCAGCCGCAGUGAAUAGGCCCAAGCGACUGUUUAUCAAAAACACAGGUCUCUGCAAAAUCGUAAGAUGAAGUAUAGGGGCUGACGCCUGCCCGGUGCUGGAAGGUUAAGAGGAUGGGUUAGCUUCGGCGAAGCUCAGAAUUGAAGCCCCAGUAAACGGCGGCCGUAACUAUAACGGUCCUAAGGUAGCGAAAUUCCUUGUCGGGUAAGUUCCGACCCGCACGAAAGGCGUAACGAUUUGGGCACUGUCUCAACGAGAGACUCGGUGAAAUUUUAGUACCUGUGAAGAUGCAGGUUACCCGCGACAGGACGGAAAGACCCCAUGGAGCUUUACUGUAGUUUGAUAUUGAGUGUUUGUACCACAUGUACAGGAUAGGUAGGAGCCGAUGAGACCGGAACGCUAGUUUCGGAGGAGGCGCUGGUGGGAUACUACCCUUGUGUUAUGAACCCUCUAACCCGCACCACUAAUCGUGGUGGGAGACAGUGUCAGAUGGGCAGUUUGACUGGGGCGGUCGCCUCCUAAAAGGUAACGGAGGCGCCCAAAGGUUCCCUCAGAAUGGUUGGAAAUCAUUCGAAGAGUGUAAAGGCAGAAGGGAGCUUGACUGCGAGACCUACAAGUCGAGCAGGGACGAAAGUCGGGCUUAGUGAUCCGGUGGUUCCGCAUGGAAGGGCCAUCGCUCAACGGAUAAAAGCUACCC
Molecule: ribosomal RNA, 2334 nt
Filed under: Listeria monocytogenes
Lineage: Bacteria; Bacillati; Bacillota; Bacilli; Caryophanales; Listeriaceae
Description: partial 23S ribosomal RNA
Rfam family: Bacterial large subunit ribosomal RNA
Source: RNAcentral